UGGGGAAUAUUGGACAAUGGGCGCAAGCCUGAUCCAGCCAUGCCGCGUGAGUGAUGAAGGCCCUAGGGUUGUAAAGCUCUUUCACCGGUGAAGAUAAUGACGGUAACCGGAGAAGAAGCCCCGGCUAACUUCGUGCCAGCAGCCGCGGUAAUACGAAGGGGGCUAGCGUUGUUCGGAUUUACUGGGCGUAAAGCGCACGUAGGCGGACUUUUAAGUCAGGGGUGAAAUCCCGGGGCUCAACCCCGGAACUGCCUUUGAUACUGGAAGUCUUGAGUAUGGUAGGGGUGGGUGGAAUUCCGCGUGUAGAGGUGAAAUUCGUAGAUAUUCGGAGGAACACCAGUGGCGAAGGCGGCGCACUGGACCAUUACUGGCGCUGAGGUGCGAAAGCGUGGGGAGCAAACAGG
This 404-nucleotide ribosomal RNA is filed under the name Actinomycetes bacterium. RNAcentral's name for it is "Actinobacteria bacterium partial 16S ribosomal RNA". It matches the Rfam family "Bacterial small subunit ribosomal RNA", at positions 355 to 776 of the family's 1533-position model. Lineage: Bacteria; Bacillati; Actinomycetota; Actinomycetes. The record is from RNAcentral.